Struthio camelus australis is the source of this 208-nucleotide small nuclear RNA. Its record names the gene U2. It matches the Rfam family "U2 spliceosomal RNA". From Rfam's summary of the family: U2 is a small nuclear RNA (snRNA) component of the spliceosome (involved in pre-mRNA splicing). The record is from Ensembl. NCBI's taxonomy places the organism in Eukaryota, Metazoa, Chordata, Aves, Struthioniformes, Struthionidae.
AUCACUUUGUGGCUUUUUGACUAAAAUUCUGGGUAGUAUCUGUUCUUAUCCAUUUCAUAUAAGAUACACCCCCAGUUUUAAGACCUUAUAUCCUCAAUUUAAAGACUUUACAUUAAAUGGAUUUUGGGGAGUGGGAGAGAGACUGAGAGCUUGUUCCGUCCACUGCACAUAUCGACCUCGUACGCCUCCGGGGAGCAGUAGCUGCUGG